This 289-nucleotide ribosomal RNA is filed under the name bacterium. RNAcentral's name for it is "partial 16S ribosomal RNA". It matches the Rfam family "Bacterial small subunit ribosomal RNA", at positions 515 to 803 of the family's 1533-position model. The record is from RNAcentral.
CCGCGGUAAUACGGAGGGUGCGAGCGUUAAUCGGAAUUACUGGGCGUAAAGCGCACGCAGGCGGUUUGAUAAGCGAGAUGUGAAAGCCCCGGGCUUAACCUGGGAACUGCAUUUCGAACUGGCAAACUAGAGUGUGAUAGAGGGUGGUGGAAUUUCCUGUGUAGCGGUGAAAUGCGUAGAUAUCUGAAGGAACACCAAUGGCGAAGGCGGCCACCUGGACCAACACUGACGCUCAUGUGCGAAAGCGUGGGGAGCAAACAGGAUUAGAUACCCUGGUAGUCCACGCCGU